UUGACCUCAAAUCAGGUAAGACUACCCGCUGAACUUAAGCAUAUCAAUAAGCGGAGGAAAAGAAACCAACAGGGAUUGCCUUAGUAACGGCGAGUGAAGCGGCAAAAGCUCAAAUUUGAAAUCGAACCCCCGUUCGAGUUGUAAUUUGUAGAAGUAACUUUUGUGUUUAGACCUGGCGGAAGUUCCUUGGAACAGGACGCCGUAGAGGGUGAGAGCCCCGUUCUACCAGAGUCGAUGCCUUGUAAAGUGCUUUCAAAGAGUCGAGUUGUUUGGGAAUGCAGCUCUAAGUGGGUGGUAAAUUCCAUCUAAAGCUAAAUAUUGGCGAGAGACCGAUAGCGAACAAGUACAGUGAUGGAAAGAUGAAAAGAACUUUGAAAAGAGAGUGAAAAAGUACGU
This 396-nucleotide ribosomal RNA is filed under the name Groenewaldozyma salmanticensis. RNAcentral describes it as "eukaryotic LSU rRNA". It matches the Rfam family "Eukaryotic large subunit ribosomal RNA", at positions 1 to 400 of the family's 3401-position model. Lineage: Eukaryota; Fungi; Ascomycota; Dipodascomycetes; Dipodascales; Trichomonascaceae. The record is from RNAcentral.